GACGUAGGGCGCGAGCGUUGUCCGGAUUUAUUGGGCGUAAAGAGCUCGUAGGCGGUUCAUUGCGUCAAUCGUGAAAUCCUGUGGCUCAACUACAGGCUUGCGGUUGAUACGGGCAGGCUAGAGUUCGGUAGGGGAGACUGGAAUUCCUGGUGUAGCGGUGAAAUGCGCAGAUAUCAGGAGGAACACCGAUGGCGAAGGCAGGUCUCUGGGCAUUAACUGACGCUGAGGAGCGAAAGCAUGGGGGAGCGAACAGG
Molecule: ribosomal RNA, 254 nt
Filed under: uncultured bacterium
Lineage: Bacteria
Description: partial 16S ribosomal RNA
Rfam family: Bacterial small subunit ribosomal RNA
Source: RNAcentral